RNAcentral lists this ribosomal RNA (465 nucleotides) under Vreelandella stevensii. RNAcentral describes it as "partial 16S ribosomal RNA". It matches the Rfam family "Bacterial small subunit ribosomal RNA", at positions 338 to 795 of the family's 1533-position model. Lineage: Bacteria; Pseudomonadati; Pseudomonadota; Gammaproteobacteria; Oceanospirillales; Halomonadaceae. The record is from RNAcentral.
CCUACGGGGGGCAGCAGUGGGGAAUAUUGGACAAUGGGGGGAACCCUGAUCCAGCCAUGCCGCGUGUGUGAAGAAGGCCCUCGGGUUGUAAAGCACUUUCAGUGAGGAAGAACGCCUGGUGGUUAAUACCCAUCAGGAAAGACAUCACUCACAGAAGAAGCACCGGCUAACUCCGUGCCAGCAGCCGCGGUAAUACGGAGGGUGCGAGCGUUAAUCGGAAUUACUGGGCGUAAAGCGCGCGUAGGUGGCUUGAUAAGCCGGUUGUGAAAGCCCCGGGCUCAACCUGGGAACGGCAUCCAGAACUGUCAAGCUAGAGUGCAGGAGAGGAAGGUAGAAUUCCCGGUGUAGCGGUGAAAUGCGUAGAGAUCGGGAGGAAUACCAGUGGCGAAGGCGGCCUUCUGGACUGACACUGACACUGAGGUGCGAAAGCGUGGGUAGCAAACAGGAUUAGAUACCCGUGUAGUC